This 307-nucleotide unclassified non-coding RNA is filed under the name Hevea brasiliensis (rubber tree). The record is from RNAcentral. Lineage: Eukaryota; Viridiplantae; Streptophyta; Magnoliopsida; Malpighiales; Euphorbiaceae.
GAGAGAGAGAGAGAGAGAGAACCCUGUUUUGAAUGGGCUUUGCGGGGACUCAAAGCAUCUAUAAAUUUAUUAAAAAAAGGCUCAAGCUGGUGUUGCCCAUGUUUAGCUUAUUGGGUCUAUGGGAAGUGAGUUGCAAAAUCAUUAAGCAUCUACAUAAAGCUUGCAAUUUGUAAUUAGUAGUACUUGAAUAUACACCUAUCAAAAAUUCAAAAUAACUCAUGAUUGCUAAAAAUAAAAAAAUAAAAAGUAAUCAUUUAGUGUCUAUUUAAUAUUGGAUUUGAAAAAUUUAAAUUAUUUUUUUAAAUAA